Magnolia sinica is the source of this 1566-nucleotide long non-coding RNA. RefSeq lists it as uncharacterized. The transcript has 4 exons. NCBI's taxonomy places the organism in Eukaryota, Viridiplantae, Streptophyta, Magnoliopsida, Magnoliales, Magnoliaceae. The record is from RefSeq and is a predicted model, not a curated record.
CUCUCUCUCUCUCUCUCUCUCUCUGUAGGAUUACCUCAAAACCAUUAUUCCUUUGCAGUUUAUCGCCGAGGGAGGCUCGAUUCUCAUCGUUAGAAAUCCAUGUAAGGAAAACCCUAACCGUGCAUCUAAUGCAUCACCCACCUCCACGGUAAUUUUCCUCUCUUCUUCAGUUCUAACAUUUCAAUUCUUUUUUCAGUUUAGUCCUGAAACAAUAUUCCCCGUUGACUCCAAUCUCUCUCUCUCUCUCUCUGUUUUUUUAGAAAUGUAUGCAUGCGUGAAGGCGAGGCAUUUUUACAGCACCUUCUUUGUCUAUAUAUUUUUUUAAUUUUUGGUAAUGUGGAUUUUCAAUGAAUGAAUAGGGUUUGGGUCUGUUUGGAUGCUUGGAAUGGCCAUCCAUUCAGAUCUUCUCAAGUCUAGAUGAUCAUCUCAUUUUUAGGCUUGAGAUGCUCCAGAUGCACAAGAUUUGAAGGACAAUAUCUUAAGAGUAGGGGAAAGGAAGAUUUCAAUGCCAUUUUUGCAAGGUUUACAACUUUAAGAGGGGUGUUUUGUGUGGAUGUUGCUGAUAUUUAUAAUACAAUCUCCCUCCUGUAUUUCAUGCAUGCUAACUAUUUGAUAAAAUGGCUCAACAAGGAGUGUUUUGUGUGGAUGUAGCUGAUAUUUAUGAUACAAUCUCCCUCUUAUAUUUCGUUCAUGCUAAUUGUUUGAUGAAAUAGCUCAAGAAGGAAUGAGAAGCUAGCACAACUAUCAUUAGGCUAUGAUCUGACUAAUCCUUGAUCUUGGGCGUGUGGAGAAAAGUUUAUCAAGAUUGAGCAGGUGCGUGUUUACAAAGAGCCAUCACUCACAAUUCCUGAAACUCCAGGAAUUGUGCAGCAUGGGAUUUUGAACAACAGAAGGCAGGUCUUGACUAAGCGGAGUGGUUGCAGGUUUACAUAUCUGGGGCUGGUGCUUUUUCAGGAUGAGGAGUGGCUCGAGCUGUUAGUGAGGUUGUAGUUGGCAAUCCGGUGAAGUGAGAUCUUACACAUAUCAUUCCAUGUUAGCAUUUGGUGGUCCCUAUUGUGCUGAUAAGCUUUUAAAUAUCAUUGUGGAGUGUUGCACAUUUUUCACCCAUAGAAAGUAGUGUGGGCAAUCUGUUUCAAAACUUUCAGAUUGGAGUUAUAGGAAACCUUCUUCUAACCAGGUGGUGGUCCUGCUUCCUAGCUGUUUGUACUUGCUAUAAUUUUGAAAUAGAUGCUUGCCCACCUCUAUACAUGAAUAUGCUCUGCUUCCUGUCAUAUUUUGUGCAACCAUAUUUCAUAUAUUUUCUCUAGGUGUAAAUUAAUUUAGAUGGUUCUCUUGAAAGCACCUUUAUUUCUUUCUUUGUUUUAGAGUGCAUCUUAGAGAGAUUUGUAUUAAACUGAAUUGAUGGAAGGAUUGAAUGUCAUUAAAACAUCUUAAUAGGCCUUGCACAUCAAUUUGUAUGUUUAGCUUAUCCUAGGGACAUUUGUAUCAGACUAUGAAUUGAAUUGGCAAAAUUUAAUCAAGUGGAAACAAGUACUUAUGUUUGGGAGAUUUUCUUUGUGGUUCUCA